GACGAACGCUGGCGGCGUGCUUAACACAUGCAAGUCGAACGGAAAGGCCUGCUUUCCCUUGUGGAUUGCGGGUACUCGAGUGGCGAACGGGUGAGUAACACGUGAGUGAUCUGCCCCCAACUUGGGUAUAAGCCUGGGAAACUGGGUCUAAUUCCCGAUAGGACUGCAGGGUGGUGCCUGUGGUGGAAAACGAUUUUCUAGUGGUUGGGGAUGAGCUCGCGGCCUAUCAGCUUAUUGGCGGGGUAAUGGCCUACCAAGGCGGCGACGGGUAGCCGGCCUGAGAGGGUGGACGGCCACAUUGGGACUGAGAUACGGCCCAGACUCCUACGGGAGGCAGCAGUGGGGAAUAUUGCACAAUGGGCGGAAGCCUGAUGCAGCGACGCCGCGUGGGGGAUGACGGCCUUCGGGUUGUAAACUCCUUUCGACCGCGAGGAAGCCACCUGGUUGGAAGGGUGGUGACGGUAGUGGUAGAAGAAGCACCGGCUAACUACGUG
This 494-nucleotide ribosomal RNA is filed under the name uncultured bacterium. RNAcentral describes it as "partial 16S ribosomal RNA". It matches the Rfam family "Bacterial small subunit ribosomal RNA", at positions 28 to 507 of the family's 1533-position model. The record is from RNAcentral.